AAAAAUACCCACCCAUGCCUGCCAGCAGUUUGACUUGACCUCUUCCUCCAAAAAGGAAGAAGAAAUCCCAAAGAUACCUUCUCUCCUUUGAGAGCAAUCAGUGCUGUACUGUCAGCGUGGGGCAGGAUUCCGUCGCCGCAGGAUGUAUACAGUAGAUCACCUUUAAGCCAGCGAAACUCUUGAAUCGUGGUCUUCGUCCUAGGACAAGGUGGAGGAGCCGGUUGCAGAGAGGGGCCGCCAGCGUAACUGUCACAGUGUCACUUGGCAAGUAUGGCCUUUUGUGUGGCCAUUUCUUAUAAGAGGUGGUUAUUUUGGGGUUCUAAUAAGCCUUUCUUAAGGUACUGCUGAACUGCAAGUAAAGCGCACCCUCACACUGAGAGUUAAAAGCGGAGGCGGUGUGUUAAUUCUGAGAAAUUAAUGUUCCUGAUUAGCUGGGGAUUGCUUCCCGUGCCUCAGCAUCUGUACGUAGCUGUGUCCUCCCCAGAGGUGCUGGAUACAGCUCCGACAUCCCGUUCCUGUGUACUACAGGAUAUUUCUCAGUUUGUAGCAGUGUUGCUGGUUCAAGGCAGGUCCCGUCUUGGGCGGUGUGGUGUUUUCAUGUGAAGCUGGAGCUGGUUUGCAGGUUUGAAUUGGCAGAAGCUCACUUUUUUUUGUGUGUGUCUCUGCAGUUCGGUGCUCACAGCACAGCAUCAGCUCUGGAGAUGUAGGGCAGUGUUGGGGACAUCCUGCAGACCCACUGCCGAGGCUGGACUGAUCCAGUCUCGAGGCCUCUUCCUUCAGGUGGUGAAUUGUGGGAUAAUGCUUUUUCUGAAAGCAGGGUCACACUGAGAGAGCAGCUAAAGGUCAGGAUUGUGACCUAUGCUGUCAACUACUGUAGCAUCGCGUGCAUGGAUCCCUUCCAGCUCCUUGGAUGGGAAGACCUGCAGCUGAGCACCUCCUCAGCUGCUUGGUCGUAACACUUAGAGAGUGGUGGUAGUGGGCAGAUGAUGGGAAAUCAGUGGAGGGCAGAACAUUGCAGAGACACAGAGGGAUAGAGUUUGUCUGUUGUUGUAUUUUUCUUAUUAGGACUUGCUUUCAUGCAGAAAAUUCUUGAAAGUCAAACUCUGGCUGAGAUUUAAUAGGAAAAACAUAUGUAUAUGUUCUAGGAGUCACUCCUCAUCGCUGUGUGUGACACAGUACUCAGCUGGUAUUUGCACUGAGACAAAAAGAAAGGGGUUGAACCCCUUGGAGUCUGCUCUGAGGGAAUUUGUUAGUGGAUAACAAACAGCGAGAAAGCUUGGCCGGGCUGAAGCCAAUGGGAUGUAUUGAUGAAUGGGAGCUGAUCUCUGCUCGCGUAAUCCUGACUUGUGACAUCAGACCUUGGGGCCUUCAAGGGCUUCCCUGUGACCUGUUAUAAUCUUCAACUAUUCCCAAAGUUGGGGCAUUUGACAAAGGCACAGCAAGCUUUCUUGAGGCUUGUUGUCUCACAAAUCCCAUCUCCUUUCCUCAGCUGAAGUUACGCAUUAGAGGAAGACAACGAGGGAGACAGGUUCAAAACGAGAUUCUCUGUGGAUAUCUGUCAUCCUUUGCUUCUUUGGAGAAGGUGGCUGAAAACAGCUGGUGGGGAAGAGGAAAGCCGUUGACUGGUUCCAGGACCUGUGGUAAUAGAGGCACCAGCAAGCAUCUCAGAUGAAACCACUACUGAAGGAAUGGCUUCAAGUCAACUCCCUGCAAGACACGGCGAUUCAGCACAGAUCUUCUCUAGAGGCAGCCCCAUGAAAUGAGGAUCCAAAAUCCAAAACUGGAACUGCCUGGGCCUCUCUACUUACCUCCCAGCU
Long non-coding RNA from Cuculus canorus (common cuckoo), 1817 nucleotides. RefSeq lists it as uncharacterized. NCBI's taxonomy places the organism in Eukaryota, Metazoa, Chordata, Aves, Cuculiformes, Cuculidae. The record is from RefSeq and is a predicted model, not a curated record. The transcript has 6 exons.